CUACGGGGGGCAGCAGUGGGGAAUAUUGCACAAUGGGCGCAAGCCUGAUGCAGCCAUGCCGCGUGUAUGAAGAAGGCCUUCGGGUUGUAAAGUACUUUCAGCAGUGAGGAAGGUGGGUAUGUUAAUAGCAUACUCAUUUGACGUUAGCUGCAGAAGAAGCACCGGCUAACUCCGUGCCAGCAGCCGCGGUAAUACGGAGGGUGCGAGCGUUAAUCGGAAUUACUGGGCGUAAAGCGCAUGCAGGUGGUUUGUUAAGUCAGAUGUGAAAGCCCGGGGCUCAACCUCGGAAUUGCAUUUGAAACUGGCAAACUAGAGUACUGUAGAGGGGGGUAGAAUUUCAGGUGUAGCGGUGAAAUGCGUAGAGAUCUGAAGGAAUACCGGUGGCGAAGGCGGCCCCCUGGACAGAUACUGACACUCAGAUGCGAAAGCGUGGGGAGCAAACAGGAUUAGAUACCCUGGUAGUC
Molecule: ribosomal RNA, 464 nt
Filed under: uncultured bacterium
Lineage: Bacteria
Description: partial 16S ribosomal RNA
Rfam family: Bacterial small subunit ribosomal RNA
Source: RNAcentral